RNAcentral lists this ribosomal RNA (401 nucleotides) under uncultured Propionibacterium sp. RNAcentral describes it as "bacterial SSU rRNA". It matches the Rfam family "Bacterial small subunit ribosomal RNA", at positions 84 to 499 of the family's 1533-position model. The record is from RNAcentral. Lineage: Bacteria; Bacillati; Actinomycetota; Actinomycetes; Propionibacteriales; Propionibacteriaceae.
GGGGUGCUCGAGUGGCGAACGGGUGAGUAACACGUGAGUAACCUGCCCUUGACUUUGGGAUAACUUCAGGAAACUGGGGCUAAUACCGGAUAGGAGCUCCUGCUGCAUGGUGGGGGUUGGAAAGUUUCGGCGGUUGGGGAUGGACUCGCGGCUUAUCAGCUUGUUGGUGGGGUAGUGGCUUACCAAGGCUUUGACGGGUAGCCGGCCUGAGAGGGUGACCGGCCACAUUGGGACUGAGAUACGGCCCAGACUCCUACGGGAGGCAGCAGUGGGGAAUAUUGCACAAUGGGCGGAAGCCUGAUGCAGCAACGCCGCGUGCGGGAUGACGGCCUUCGGGUUGUAAACCGCUUUCGCCUGUGACGAAGCGUGAGUGACGGUAAUGGGUAAAGAAGCACCGGCUA